RNAcentral lists this ribosomal RNA (253 nucleotides) under uncultured bacterium. RNAcentral's name for it is "partial 16S ribosomal RNA". It matches the Rfam family "Bacterial small subunit ribosomal RNA", at positions 524 to 776 of the family's 1533-position model. The record is from RNAcentral.
UACGGAGGGCGCAAGCGUUACUCGGAAUCACUGGGCGUAAAGAGCGUGUAGGCGGAUAAAUAAGUUGGGAGUGAAAUCCUAUGGCUCAACCAUAGAACUGCUUCCAAAACUGUAUAUCUAGAAUAUGGGAGAGGUAGAUGGAAUUUCUGGUGUAGGGGUAAAAUCCGUAGAGAUCAGAAGGAAUACCGAUUGCGAAGGCGAUCUACUGGAACAUUAUUGACGCUGAGACGCGAAAGCGUGGGGAGCAAACAGG